Molecule: long non-coding RNA, 580 nt
Organism: Strigops habroptila (Kakapo)
Lineage: Eukaryota; Metazoa; Chordata; Aves; Psittaciformes; Psittacidae
Exons: 4
Source: RefSeq, a predicted model, not a curated record
AAAACCAGGGUGUUUUGGGCAAAGUGAUACUCCCUACUACUUCUGGGUGCAAGUGAUUCCUGGUCAGAUUAUUUCAGCUUGUUGCUUCCUUGGUGCACUCUGAACCAAGAUCUUCAUCAGCCCUGUGAAGACCCGGGACAGGCAACAGCCAUGCGAAUCCUGUACCUGCUUUUCCCCUUAUUCCUCUUGCUGGCUCAGGGUGCUGCAGGAUCCUCCCUGGCUCCAGGAAAUAAGGCACAAUGUCAUCGAGAAAAAGGCUUCUGUGGAUUUCUGAAGUGCUCUUUCCCCUAUGUCAUCAGUGGAAGUUGUUCAAAGUUUUUCUUUUGCUGCAAGAAAAUGUGGAGUUGAGCCCCUGAACUCUGUGAGCAGGACGUCCUCCUCGCUUCUGGCUCCUGGCACCAUGUCCUGAUGUCCUCUCUGCUCCCCGCCUCUGCCGUCCCCAGGGGCUGUGACAGCAGGAGUGGAAGCGCUGCUCCUGCUGGGUGCCCGUGUGCUGGGGACGUCCCGUCAUGGAGCCGGUGCUGCUGGGGCAGAGGCUGCUUUUCCCGCCUUGAAUAAAGACGAGCAAUUUGGCAUUGCA